ACGUCAUUUGAUGGAGCGUUAUUUAGGAGCAGCGCGACAGACGUCUGGUGUCGGAGUAUUGCCACCUCCCCGAGUGGUAACUUGUUUAUUAAUUCUCUGCGGUGUGCAUACGGCCAACCUAUGUCUUGGAUUUGGUUUACUUUCCUGUUGUCCUGUAUCCUCAGCUGGAUCUAUCACCCGCUUACCUGUCAGCUGUUUGUGAAGCCGCAUUUCCGGGAUCUCUACGGAGAUAGAUCUCAGCAUUUCUUCUACUUCCCGGGAAUCCUCGCCCGAGUCUGUACAGCCAGUGUGACAAAUCCACCCUGCGUGUGCGGGUUACCCCUUUCCCUCAGAAUGCGUGUCAGCUCCCUUCUCUGGUUUCCCUCCGUUUAUUUGUCGGUGUACAUAUUCCAUCCCGUGUAAAUAAGUUGGACACUGUAAAUAAAAAGCACUUCCUGCAUUUUCUGCGUUUCUGUGUGUUCUGCCAUAGAGUCCGUUUACUUAGCAUAACA
Molecule: long non-coding RNA, 491 nt
Organism: Oreochromis aureus
Lineage: Eukaryota; Metazoa; Chordata; Actinopteri; Cichliformes; Cichlidae
Source: Ensembl